Molecule: unclassified non-coding RNA, 390 nt
Filed under: Hevea brasiliensis (rubber tree)
Lineage: Eukaryota; Viridiplantae; Streptophyta; Magnoliopsida; Malpighiales; Euphorbiaceae
Source: RNAcentral
AUCAGAGCACAACGUAAGGGAGCUGGAUCAGUCUUCCGCUCUCACACUCACCACAGGAAGGGCGCUGCCCGUUUCCGCUCCCUCGACUUCGGCGAGCGAAAUGGUUACCUGAAAGGUGUGGUCAGCGAAAUCAUUCACGAUCCGGGCAGAGGUGCUCCGUUGGCCCGCGUUACUUUCCGCCAUCCCUUCCGUUACAAGCACCAGAAGGAACUGUUCAUCGCCGCUGAGGGUAUGUACACUGGUCAGUUUGUGUACUGUGGGAAAAAGGCUAAUCUUGUUGUUGGUAAUGUGCUUCCCAUUAGAGCCAUUCCUGAAGGUGCUGUGGUUUGUAAUGUUGAGCACCAUGUUGGUGACCGAGGUGUGUUCGCUAGAUGCUCUGGUGAUUAUGCU